Non-coding RNA from Triticum urartu, 1897 nucleotides. The record is from RefSeq and is a predicted model, not a curated record. Lineage: Eukaryota; Viridiplantae; Streptophyta; Magnoliopsida; Poales; Poaceae.
CAUUUUACAGAAAACCCCCUUGUUCAUUAGAUUUGCAUCCGCUGACCUCGUAGUCUUAUCCAUUUCUCUAGCGAUGGCGAUGGCGACGGCGACGGCGACGGGUUUCUCUGGCGACGGCGACGCCGCGACGGCGACGGGUUGAGGGCUGCGUAGACGGCGCGGCGAGGAGGGGCAUGUGCUGCGGAGACGGCGCGGCGAGGUGGGGCAGUGGCGGUUGUGCGGCGAGGCGGGGCAGGUGCUGCAGAGACGGGGCGCAGCGAGGCGGGGUAGUGGCGUCGCGGGGGAGGAUGGAGGACGCCGGAGCAGAGGACGACAGCUCCCGCCAUCGCUGCUGUCUGCGCGCGUCCGCGUACUCGCCUCCGUCCGCGCCCGCGCCGGAGCGCUGCUGUCUGCGCGCGUCCGCGUACUCGCCUCCGUCCGCACCCUUCAGCUCGCCUCUGCCAGCCGCGCCCUUCAGCUCGCCUCCGCCCGCGUCCUGCCGCGUCCCAACCGCGUUGGGAGGCCGCCUCUGCCUGCCGCGCUUGCCUUUGCUCACGCCCUGCAGCUGGCCUCCACCCUCGUCCUGCCGCGGUGAGCGCGAUCCUGCACCUGUGGCCGCGAGCAGGCAAAGCUGUGAGCUGUACGCUUCUGAAUCUCUGACGGACUUUUGCUCCCUUGUUUGAUUUGAAUCUCUGACGGAAAUCCUGCUCCCGUGUCCUUCUCAAACUCAUGCUCCCGUGUCCUUCUCAAACAAAGAAACCGCCCCGACCCGGAUUGGAGUUCACUGCUAUAAGUUGAAUUGUUCUUGGCCAGAAUCGUAAACCAGGCUAGCGCCACCAGUGAGCAGUGCACCGUCGCUUGGGUCGUAACACCAUGAUCACCAUCAUGUCGCCUUUGAGUACGUCGGAGGAACAGGCACCGAGUUCGCCUUUGAGUACGCCGGAGGAACCGGCACCAUGUUCGCCGGAAUUCUUGGUCCAGAGAAGCAUUGUGAGUCCAACGGUGGCUACAACAGAGGUGGCAAAGGCGUCCAAUCCAACUCAGGUGGAGGCCAAGGAGGUUCGGCUCUCGGACCUUGCACCAAUGAUGCUGGAUGAUACCGACGUGCAGACUAUGUUGUCGGUCGGGUGUCCUCUACUACCGAAGUUCCCCCACCAUCUGGUGGUGCUUGAGAGCAGAGACGGCAUACUUUCAUCAGCAGCGGCCAAACCCCCAGCGCCGCUGGUGCUGUACACCCCUGUACCCCUCGAUAUCCAGUGCCUCGCGUCUGCCCAACAUGAACACCUCCUCAAUAUGUACAUCUCUGAAUUUUGCCAUUGCUAGAGAAAGUAGAGCAUUGUUUUGCUGUAGCUAUAAUUUGAGUUUAGAAGAUAUACUCCUCUCUUUUUGACGUCAAUUUUUCAGUUGACACUUGUGCAGAAGCCCAAUGGGAUGAAAUUACGGACUACAGAGAGUCUGGCACAUUUCGGUGGCAAGAUUUUUGUACAGAGUGGCAGAUUUCAGAAAUUUGUAGAGCACAUGAUUAACAAGAAGAAGAUAUUCUGUCAAGCCAUGCAUAUCAACAAUCAGUCAAGCAAAGAAAUAUUCAUGGGAGAUAUACAGGGAUCCACAAGAAUGUGCACCGUAUGGCACUCCCCUUUUGUCAUCGAGCCACUAUCACAUUUUGGUCAGCAAUCAGUUCAAGCAAUUCUCAGCGCAAUUAGUCAGAAGUUGGAAUUUACAUCUGAACGAACAAUACAUCAAGCAACAGAAGAAAUAGUGGUCAUCUCUUUUUCUUUGCACCAAGAUGCCAUACAAGCAUUCAGACUUCGGAAUCGCACAAGCAGUUUAUAUAUAAAUGAUGUGCCAUAUCGUUUUAACAUGGACACUUCAAAAGAAUAUCUGCCAAGAGUGGUCGUUGAUCACUAUGAUUAUAGUA